Molecule: long non-coding RNA, 1221 nt
Filed under: Phasianus colchicus (ring-necked pheasant)
Lineage: Eukaryota; Metazoa; Chordata; Aves; Galliformes; Phasianidae
Description: lncRNA (ENSPCLG00000003690.1)
Source: RNAcentral
UGCUCUGAAAGACAAUUGUAGUGGGGAAGCAAUUUCAGGCAUCACUUAUGACACAGCAAGCAGUGUGAACAUGAGCAAAGGUGGGGAAGAUGAGCCCAUAGGAAUAUGUCAUGGUAAAACUAUGCUUCCCUUACUUUCUUUUCUACUAUUUCAUUAGAAGAAAAUUGUGUUAAAUCUUUUUUUUAUGUUAAAAGAAAUAAUAAUUUUUUAAAAAGAUAAACUGUUUCCAUAAAUUAAACCCUUUGAAUGAUGUGUUGGCAUUACCGGAGUCUAUACUUAAUAACCACAUCCUGUUCCAUAGGAAGAGCUCAAAUCAGCUCUUAAAGCAGACUACUGGAUCUGGUAUCCUGAGACUGUUCAAGACACAGUGGUUGUGAGGAACAGUAUAAGAAACAGGAACAUAUUAUUUGGAAGAACCUUACCAGAGUAGCAUGUGCACUGGACCGUAGGAGAAGGAAGAAACUGUACUGGGACACUUCAUUUUGCUACUGGUAUUGCAUCCUUAUCUGCCAGACCUCUAAGGCCAGCAACUGUCUGGAUCAGCAGAAGAUAUUGCAUCAGCAAGGAGUGUAUCAACAAACCUAGAUUUGGAACUGAAAUAUAAGUGGAAAUCAACAUGCCUCACUUCAGACAUCUAAAGAUUAAACAUCCAAAUGAGUCUAAUCACCCACAAAAUCAUGGGGAAAGAGCCUGUUGCUUUCAGAGGAUGAGACACCUGAUCCCCAUGUACUUCAGUCUCAGGAAGCAAUGAACAACUGAGUUUGUCUGCCUGAGUCAGCGAUUGGAGCAGUUCAGAAUGUUUUCUGUUGGUGGGGAAAAUCACUCUAAGGUCAGUGAAACAACCUCCUCUUUGACUCCACAAAGGGAGGGGACAGUAUUUCACUUCAGAUGAAAUUCUUCUCUCUUGAUUUUAUACAUUAUAUAAAGAUAAGGUCACUUAAGCUAUGUUACAUGGAAUUGUUCCAGGCAUAAUGAACUGUGGAUAACUUCAGUUUUGCAAAAGCAGAACCUGACUCCAUGGACUGAUUCGCAUGGGAUUUCUCUCAAGGCGGUAGGAGCAGAACCUCUUUUAGUCAGGAACAGCACAGUAGCUUUCUAUCUUGAAAUAGCAUGAGUUAUUUUGAUAUCUGGAUGUAAACAUUUCUGAGAAAUUUUAUCCCAUACCCUAAUUAAAACUAAAUUAUUUUUAUUUCAUAAAUCACAAGUAUGAUGAAAGCUGGA